RNAcentral lists this ribosomal RNA (371 nucleotides) under uncultured bacterium. RNAcentral describes it as "bacterial SSU rRNA". It matches the Rfam family "Bacterial small subunit ribosomal RNA", at positions 606 to 975 of the family's 1533-position model. The record is from RNAcentral.
AGCUUAACUCCGAAACUGCAUUCGAUACUGCGGUGCUUGAGGACUGGAGAGGAGACUGGAAUUCAUGGUGUAGCAGUGAAAUGCGUAGAGAUCAUGAGGAAGACCAGUGGCGAAGGCGGGUCUCUGGACAGUUCCUGACACUGAGGCACGAAGGCCAGGGGAGCAAACGGGAUUAGAUACCCCGGUAGUCCUGGCAGUAAACGGUGCACGUUUGGUGUGGGAGGAUUCGACCCCUUCCGCGCCGGAGCUAACGCGUUAAACGUGCCGCCUGGGGAGUACGGUCGCAAGAUUAAAACUCAAAGAAAUUGACGGGGGCCCGCACAAGCGGUGGAGUAUGUGGCUUAAUUCGAUGCAACGCGAAGAACCUUACC